RNAcentral lists this ribosomal RNA (90 nucleotides) under Sinocyclocheilus rhinocerous. The record is from RNAcentral. Lineage: Eukaryota; Metazoa; Chordata; Actinopteri; Cypriniformes; Cyprinidae.
UGCCACAGCCAUAUCACCCUGCAGCCCAAGACUGGUUGCCCACUGAAGCUAAGCAGGGUUGAGCCUGGUCAGUGAUGGUCAUUCUGUCAA